RNAcentral lists this unclassified non-coding RNA (328 nucleotides) under soil metagenome. Its description in RNAcentral is "partial contains 5.8S ribosomal RNA, internal transcribed spacer 2, and large subunit ribosomal RNA". The stretch from base 1 to 119 matches the Rfam family "5.8S ribosomal RNA", at positions 35 to 154 of the family's 154-position model. The record is from RNAcentral.
GAUGAAGAACGCAGCGAAAUGCGAUAAGUAAUGUGAAUUGCAGAAUUCAGUGAAUCAUCGAAUCUUUGAACGCACAUUGCGCCCCCUGGUAUUCCGGGGGGCAUGCUGUCCGAGCGUCAUUACAACCCUCAAGCUCAGCUUGGUAUUGGGCCCCGCCGACCCGGCGGGCCCUAAAGUCAGUGGCGGUGCCGUCCGGCUCCGAGCGUAGUAAUUCUUCUCGCUCUGGAGGUCCGGUCGUGUGCUCGCCAGCAACCCCCAAUUUUUUUCAGGUUGACCUCGGAUCAGGUAGGGAUACCCGCUGAACUUAAGCAUAUCAAUAAGCGGAGGA